Cinara cedri is the source of this 83-nucleotide non-coding RNA. The record is from the annotation of a GenBank genome assembly. NCBI's taxonomy places the organism in Eukaryota, Metazoa, Arthropoda, Insecta, Hemiptera, Aphididae.
UCUUUCUGUCUCUCUCUCUCUCUCUCUCUUUCCGUCUCCGAAGUGCGGAGUGAGAGAGAGAGAGAGAGAGAGAGACAGAGAGA